Molecule: long non-coding RNA, 1353 nt
Filed under: Panax ginseng (ginseng)
Lineage: Eukaryota; Viridiplantae; Streptophyta; Magnoliopsida; Apiales; Araliaceae
Description: long non-coding RNA (PGIN_LNC008739)
Source: RNAcentral
UUUUCUCACCAAAAUCAAUUAUUAAAAUGUCGUGAACAUACGGUAACAUGCAUACUUAAUUUUUCAGUACAAUUAUGGUGUCGUAUAUAGUACGACAUCAUUCACACCCAAAUCAAGUUCUCAAUACAAUUAUUGUCACACUAAUUGAUAACAUAUUGAAAAACUACUACAGCCUCGAACUAUCACUACAUUCCCCUGCAUUAGACCCAACUACACUCUUAUUUCCUGGAAAUAGUUAUGAAACAAAAAGGUGAGCAUAAAUAGUCCAGUAAAGAAUAUCAUGACUAAGAUAAAUAAAUUAUCAAUAGCUUUCAAUAAUAAUAAAUCAAAUCUUUAGAACAUAUGGUAGAUGAUAUAAGUUUUUAAUAAUUAAUUGUAACAGAAUGAUCAAUUCAUUAGAAGAGUUAAAUAAACCAUAAUGUCUACUAUCUUUUCGCAUUUGAAAAUUCACGAUCAAUAUUUUAUCUCUGUAACACUAAUCAACCGUUCCUUUUUGCGCUAGGCCAAAUAAAACUUUUAUCACGUCUUUGCCUGUAAUAUUCAAUGUCAUGAUUAUACCAAUUCACAGUUCCUAGUCAAUAGUCAUAAUCAUGUCAAUCAACAAUUUCUGGUCAUAAUCAUGUCGAUCAAUUAAUCUUUGCACGUAUACCAAAAAUAUUCAAUUGUAACACCAAUGACCACGAUCAUGCCAAUCAAGAAUUCAUCUUUGCACUCAAAUCAAAGAUAAUUUUCACCACAUUUUUUGCUACACAGGCAAAAACAAUCAAUAAUAAUACUGUCUUUGUACUUAGGUCAAAGACAUUUACAACAAUUUAGUCUUUGAUAGCAAUGAUAUAAAUGAUAGACAUAAAUAAAACAUAAAUAAAUAUAGCAUAAACAUUAACGAUUUUUUUUAUUUUAUUUAUCUAGAGUCCAAAUUGUCAACACGAUAUCCAGAAAUUCGAUUAAAGUUUUUGAUAGAAUAUAAAAUUCAAGAAAAAUAUAAGGUUCACAUUUCAAAUAUAAUGAUUAAAUUUUAAUAUGAAGAUUCAGGUAAAAAUAUCAGAUAAAGCAUAAAUCAUUAAAGAUAUUCUAAUCAUUUUCAUGAACCAUUUAAUGAUAAAGCUGGAGAACGAAUAAAUACUUUCUUAUCAUAAUAUAGGAGUAUGAAACCUUACCUUAAUAGGAGACUAAAUACUGCAAUAUUGUACUAGAAGAAUUUUGUAUUUUGGUGUGUGCUGGAUUCUUGGAUAUUCCUUUUAUUAUCCUUCUUUUCAUCUUUCUUAUUCUCACUCUUUAGUGUUGAGUACCAACUGAGUCAAUGCCAGUUGAUAAUUCAAUUUGAGUUUUCAUUUAUUUGAAUAUAGUUUUCUC